GCCUCUUUAGCUUAGUUGGUAGAGCGCAGCACUUGUAUGGUUAACUGUGAGAUGCUGAGGUCAGCGGUUCAACUCCGCUAGGGGGCA
Lipomyces starkeyi NRRL Y-11557 is the source of this 87-nucleotide transfer RNA. It matches the Rfam family "tRNA". Rfam says of the family: Transfer RNA (tRNA) molecules are approximately 80 nucleotides in length. Lineage: Eukaryota; Fungi; Ascomycota; Lipomycetes; Lipomycetales; Lipomycetaceae. The record is from Rfam.